UACGUAGGGUGCAAGCGUUAAUCGGAAUUACUGGGCGUAAAGCGUGCGCAGGCGGUUGUGUAAGACAGAUGUGAAAUCCCCGGGCUCAACCUGGGAACUGCAUUUGUGACUGCACAGCUGGAGUACGGUAGAGGGGGAUGGAAUUCCGCGUGUAGCAGUGAAAUGCGUAGAUAUGCGGAGGAACACCGAUGGCGAAGGCAGUCCCCUGGACCUGUACUGACGCUCAUGCACGAGAGCGUGGGGAGCAAACAGGAUUAGAUACCCUGGUAGUCCACGCCCUAAACGAUGUCAACUGGUUGUUGGGUGGGUUUCUACUCAGUAACGAAGCUAACGCGUGAAGUUGACCGCCUUGGGAGUACGGCCGCAAGGUUGAA
RNAcentral lists this ribosomal RNA (374 nucleotides) under uncultured bacterium. RNAcentral's name for it is "bacterial SSU rRNA". It matches the Rfam family "Bacterial small subunit ribosomal RNA", at positions 524 to 898 of the family's 1533-position model. The record is from RNAcentral.